GAGGGUAUGGCUUAGUUGCAGAGUGUGUGCUUAGCAUGCACAGGGUCUUGGGUUCAAUCCCCAGUGCUUCCA
Molecule: transfer RNA, 72 nt
Filed under: Camelus bactrianus (Bactrian camel)
Lineage: Eukaryota; Metazoa; Chordata; Mammalia; Artiodactyla; Camelidae
Also listed under: 2 other names
Rfam family: tRNA
About the family: Transfer RNA (tRNA) molecules are approximately 80 nucleotides in length.
Source: Rfam by way of RNAcentral